UAGGUAUAACAGUCAUCUCUUUGUUUUUGAGACUGAGUCUCGUCUUGUUGCCUAGGCUGGAGUGCAGUGGUGUGAUCUUGGCUCAUUGCAACCUUCUCCUCCUGGGUUCAAGUGAUUCUCCUGCCUCAGCCUCCUGAGUAGCUGGGAUUACAGGAUGUCCUUGAGAACAUGGAAACAGAAGAUACAUCAUGUAAAAGUCAAUUCGUUACAUUAGACCUCCUUGCUCAACCUGUUUUGGGAGACUCCACUAUGCCGAUGGGGGGCCUGAGCCCCCAGAGGCUGUGCACGGUCCCACAUUCAGCAUUUCCAACUGUAUAUGUGUGACCACAGUGUCAUCUUUGAAGGUUCUAUGGAGCAGAACACUUGGUUUCAGGUGUGGUGGUAAAGGCUUAACAACUGGCUCUGGGGGUGGGCGUGUGUGGUGUACAGGAGCUUGAUUUUCAGCAUUUGCCAAUUUCCACGGUGUCAAUACUCCCGCCACGGCCAACUCCAAGCCACCCAUGUGAUGUUACGGAAUGCAGAAUUGGGAAGAGAUACUCAUGAUCAGCUGGUGGGAGCUGGCAAAACCACCUCCAGCACAUCACUGCCCACGGGACCUCUGCUCCCUGAGGGCUGGGUGGUAAUGGCACUCGCUGUACGCCCAACACAGGUCAGAGCUGUAACUGUUCCUUCCAGAAACUGUUUCCGCGCAUGCAUCAGUAUAUAUAAAUGGGUAAAUGAUA
Molecule: long non-coding RNA, 722 nt
Organism: Callithrix jacchus (white-tufted-ear marmoset)
Lineage: Eukaryota; Metazoa; Chordata; Mammalia; Primates; Cebidae
Source: RefSeq, a predicted model, not a curated record